This is a long non-coding RNA of Acanthaster planci (crown-of-thorns starfish), 874 nucleotides long. NCBI's taxonomy places the organism in Eukaryota, Metazoa, Echinodermata, Asteroidea, Valvatida, Acanthasteridae. The record is from RefSeq and is a predicted model, not a curated record.
GCCUGUGGGCUCAUCUUCUGGCAUCACUGCUCUGAAACAAGUUGGGAAGACCUUGUCUCCAGUCGGAGGUGGUGCAAUGGCUGUUUAUGUCCAGACCUGCUAAUGUAUCCUGCGUCACGGCGCGAGUUGGAGGACUAGUGAUGAAUUCUCUAUAGCUGCGGACAUAAGUUAUGUCAUAAGUAGCACAGGCAUUGUUGACAUGGAAGCUGUGCGUAAGAACCAGAUCUGCAGGGCCGAUGAGAAGAGCGCCCUCGCCUCCUUCAACAAGGAGAGAAGCAAGAUGGAAGACAAGAUCCUGUAGGACUUCCCAGAGAUGAUCCACAAGCACAUCAAGAAGAGGAAGUAACUUAAAGAUGCCAGUCCUCGCCUCCAUCACCGAGGAGGAACAGUGUCCAAGAUUGCAUGAGGGAUUCUCGUCAGAAUCUCAGGCACUGAUUCACGGAAAGGCAAGGAAUGGAAUCAAUCUUCUCAGAGAUGCAGUUCCUUGCUUCCACCUUGGCGAUGGAGUGAGUCUCUCUGCAUUUGUACACUACUCAAAAGGAUCAAAGGAUCAGAAUUAAAAAAAAAAAGACUCACUUUGUAACGUGUGAGUGUCAUUUAAUGUGGUUAUGUUCUGGCGACAAAACAAAAACUAUAUUGGUUCCAGUCUAAUGCAAACUUUCUCUGCUGAGCACUGAAGUCCUAUGAUUCAUGAAAAACACUUCGGUCAGCACUUUGUCCAGGUCUCCUACACAGGCGUAAAAAAAUGAUGAAAGUGGAGUUUGGGGAGAAUAUGAGUUGUUAGAAUGAUAUCCUGAUAAUGUGAGGGCGCUAUUCAUGAGUUGGAAUGAUAUCCUGGUAAUGUGAGGGCGCUAUUUAUGAGUUGGAAUGAUAU